Molecule: long non-coding RNA, 2389 nt
Organism: Bos taurus (domestic cattle)
Lineage: Eukaryota; Metazoa; Chordata; Mammalia; Artiodactyla; Bovidae
Source: Ensembl
GUAAGCCCCUCACUGGCAUACUUUGUUUUGGCAGCUGAGCAAAAUAAAAAAUUGUGACCUUGUUUUACACACCAGGAAACAGGCCUGGGGAGAUACAGGGACAGCGCCACAGCCCGCAGGCCAGGGUGGAGCAGGGUGCGGCCAGGCAGCCCUCGGGGCCCAGCCGUGCCGGCUCGGGCUUGCCCGAGUGCCCAGGGCUGCUCGUGCCCCAGGGCCUUUGCUCUGCGGCUCCCGCUGCCGGAAGGGCUCCUCCCCCAGAUGCCCGCGCUGCACUCCCCCUCCCCUGCCCCGCAGGUCUUGGCUCAAGUCCUGACAGUCACCCUGUCUGAGGCAGCUUCCCCAUCUUGGUCUCUGCUGCACAACAGAAAGCCCUUGUCUUGACAGGCAGGCCUUGCACUGACCGAGUGUUGCUUGUGUGUCUCCCAGUCGGAACAAGAGUGUGAAGACCUUUCAUCUAUUCCACUCCUGUGUCCUGAUGCCCUGGCCAGAUAGAUAGUAGAGCCUAACCCUUUGCACACCCCCUUGGCUCAGGCCAGUGUCUGGAAGCGAGGUCUCUGUUGUUUGGAGGAUUCAGGACCCGGGUUAGCUGUCUCCUGGAAGGGCCUUUGACAUGCCCAGAAGAGGCCUCUGUGCUUGUCACCAGAUGCAUCUGAUCCGAGUCCCUGCUGGAGUCUCUCAUGCCCCUUCCCCGAUGAGCUGCUUGUUCUCCAGCCCCAGGACGGCCGAGCGGAGGUGUGCAGGCACAGAGCCACGUCUGUGAGCACACAGCCAGCUAGGGACCUCGGAGACCUCAGGUCUAGUCCUGUCGGGCCUGGGCGCCUGACUCCUGUGAGCACACCAUCAGCGAGGGAUGCAGGGAUCCUCAGGUCUUGUCAGUCUGUCGGGCCUGGGCUCCUGGCUCCUGUCUGCAGAGACGACCCCCCCCCCUGCCCCCCACGGAGUCUUUUGAUCUCCUGUGCUGGCAGAGACCCCCUCAAGUGAGCCAGGCUGAGGUGGAAACUCAGAAGCCCCAAGGGAAAAGGUUUCCUCCCCCAGCUUGUGCUGGAGUUCCAGCUUCCAGGCAUUGAUCUUUGUGACUCCGAUGCUGGAGCCAGCUGAGAACAGCGGGGUGGUCCCGUGGUAAGGUCCUUGUCUGUCACCUGCUUGGUGCCAGGCCAAGUGGGAAGUUGGCUGUAGUGUGCAGGGCUGUCUCAGGUUUGACUGGGGUAGGUGGGGUCCCUACCUCAGGAGGCAAUGAAGUGUGGUGAGGCGGCUAGAUGGAGGGUGGUGGGCUGGGGGGUUCCCAUGGGCUCUAAGUGCACUGGGCAAGGCCAGCAGCUGGCUGAGUCCGAGAGCCAGACCCUCACAGGGCUCGGUGCCCGCUGUGGGGUGCCUGGUGCCAACCCUGUGGCACAGCCUGGCAAGCAGAGGGCAGGCAGGGAGGGAAGACCUAGGUGGGCCUCCAGCUUAGUGACCUGCAGCACCCCUCCCCUGGCUCUUUUUAGGAAAUGAUUUCAACUUGCUACAAACUUGAAAAAUGGAACAAAGAAUCCAGUAUCCUUCCCAGAGAUCCAAUCUCAACACCUUACCUAACCACAGUGAACAUUUACAACCAUGAAAUUAGCAUUGAUACAAUAUUGUUACCUAAUCUGCUGAGCUUUGUCCCACUAAUAACCCUUGCCUGACCCCUCAUCACACUUAGUUGUUGCUCCUCCAGCUCUAACGGCUCCCCAGUCUCUCUCUGACUUGAGUGAUCUUGACAUUUUUUGAAAAGCACUGGCCAUUUUGGGGGUAGAAGGACCCUCCUGUGAGUUUGCCGGCUCUUUGUGAUUACACAUGGGUUUUGCCCUUCCGGCUUUAGUAUGUCUUUCUCGGGAGGCCCUCCGUAUGUCCCUUUACUGGCGUUUUUCCCUCCUUUUUUUUUUUUUUUAAUCGAGGCAUCUUGAAGACACAAACCGACACGUCUUUAUCCGCUCUGAUGGUGGACGUGCGCACCUUUGCUGGGGCGCCUGGCGGAGCGGUCUUCCCAAUUGUCUCCUGCAAAGUCACCGCCUUGGCCUUGCAGCCAGGGAAUGUUGGGGGGUGGCGCGGGGGGGGGGGGGUGGUGCUCUGUAACGCCGUCAAACUGACGGGCCCCGCCCGGCCCUCGCUCUCGGCCCUCGCUCCGCACCGCCGGCUCUGGUUUGCAGGCGUCUCCGUGCCGGGGGAGCUCCCGCCUCGGCAGGGGCAAUCCUGGCUCCUCGCGCAGGACCAGCAAGCCGAGAAGGGCCGGACAGCGGCGCCCUCCUGACUUUGGCCCCCUUAUCGUUACGCUCACCGCUUUCACACGGAGAGCGUGGAGGUCGGCGUGCCUGCGGUCUCGCUCAGACCCAAGGCGCGUCCUGAGCUCCCGGCGUCCCCCGCGCUCCCU